This 20776-nucleotide unclassified non-coding RNA is filed under the name Acanthaster planci (crown-of-thorns starfish). RNAcentral describes it as "nesprin-1-like, transcript variant X2". Lineage: Eukaryota; Metazoa; Echinodermata; Asteroidea; Valvatida; Acanthasteridae. The record is from RNAcentral.
UGCAACAGGUUGUGUCCAAGGGACAGGCGUUGUUCCCUCGCUGCAGCGAAGAACAACAGAUUCAGCUUCAUUCUCGGAUAAAUGAUUUGCAGCGAUGUUACAGCCAGCUACAGGACACAGCAUCUAACCGUCUGGACUUGCUCGGUAAACAUCUCACCAGGAUGAAGCGAUACGAGACAGACGUUGCUAAGAUUGAAUGUUGGCUGAGUGCCAGCGAGCCAAUUGCUUUUGCUCCUGUUGUCCUACAGUGCCCUCUAGAGGACAUGGAGCAACAGAGAGGGCAGUUUCAGGACAUCUGUGAUGACUCUGACACCUAUAAGAAUCUGGUCGAUUCCCUGUGCUCUCAGGCCACCGACAUCUUGCCAGAGCUGAGCCCCAGUGACAAAGUUAUCAUUGAGGAGCAGCUGCAGUCCCUGCGAGAGAAGUGCAAAGAAGUGGCCAGCAAAUCAUCCAAUAAGCAGUACCACCUUGUAGACUCCAUUCAGCAGCGGGAGGCUUACGAGGCACAGCUUGCUGACGAGGAUACAGAGCUGGCCGAUCUGCAGGCCCUGGCUAAGCUGCUAGAGGAUCCAAUCAGUCAUGACGUGGAUCGGGCCACAGAUCAGCUGCAGAAGGCUGGGGAUAUUAAGGCCAAAGUUGUGAACCAGCAACCCAAAAUGGACAGUCUUCAUGACAGUUGCGCAGCCAUGGCAACCAGUGGCCAGAUGGACCAUGCAGAGGACGUGUCCCGAUUAGACGGGAUCUACAAGGACCUGCUCAGCCGGACCGCCUCCCGAUGCAUAGUCAUGGAGGAUGCGGUGAGGGUCAGACAAGCUUAUGCAGCCAACGUCAAGGAGGUUCAGGACUGCCUGGAGCACUGUGCCAUCGAGAUGCCAGCGCUGCAAGAAUCCGGAAUGAUAACUGAGGAGAAACUGGAAAAAUGCCAGGCCCUGAUGUCAAUGGUAGAUGAGCAGUUUCCCACCGUGGUGACUCUGGAAACCCAGGGGCAAGACAUCCUCCACACUGCCGACAAGACGGACCAGCCCGUCAUCACUGCCACCAACCUCAAGCUCAAGCAGGACCUGAGGUUGGCAGCGGAGAACCUGAGAGAAAACCAGCUGGUCCUGGAACAGACAAGGAGUGACAAGGAGGCACUGGGGAAGGAGGUGGAGGGAUGCCUGGCCUGGCUGAAAGCAGCCGACGCUGAGAUGAGGGAGAUGACACCCAUUGGCCUGCCUGCUGAAAGAGUUGAGGAAGAACUAAGCAAGCACGAGCUUUCACAGCCAACCCUGGACAAGCAGCUCCAGCAAGCCCAAGCCCUCAUCAUCAGUGUCAAUGCCAAGUACGCUGAGCUGGGGGAGCCCAUCCCCCUGAAACUCCAAGCCGACCUGGAGGAGAUGGAUGCCCUGCACUCCCAGCUCCUCUAUGCUACCAAGGAGAAAGCGGCCAGGCUGCAGGAGGCCCUGAACCUGAGGGAAGACCUGGAGAGAGGCCAGGAGGCGGUUGGGGAGUGGCUGGACGCUGCCGAGGAGAAGCUACAGGAGGAGGAAGAAGGGGUUGACUUUGAGGAGGGACACGACCAGUUGCAGAAACAUAAGCUCCUCUUUGCCAAGGAAGCAAUCUGCCAGAGUAGACUGGACGAAGUUGAAGAGAUCGCUGAGAAGAUCCUGCCAUCCCUUAGCCCAGAGGAUGCGGCCAAGCUGAAGGCAGAUCUCAGCGAUCUCGCCUCCCGGCUGGCGGACACUGCCACAAGGGCAAGGAACGUGGAGGAGGAGCUCCAGGACGGCGUAAACAACUGGCAGGACUUUCAGGCUGGUGCAGCCGAGAUGAAGAGCGCCCUUACUGGGCUGGAAGAGAGAGCCUCGUACCAGUCGCCAGUGAGCCUGGCAGUGGCCAGGGACAAUGAGCAACUCAGUCAGGAAAUAGGCGAAGUCAUGCAAACCCAGGUGAAGCAACUAGAAUUCUUGAAGCAGCAAGCUGAAAUAUUAGACAAGCAGGGAAACGAACCAGGCAAGGAAGCCGUCCAGAAAAGGUUGCAAGACCUGGAGCUUUUGGCAGACAGCCUGCAAGACAAGACAUCGGCCGACAACCAGAAGAUCAAGAGACAAGCUGCCAGCUGGCAGGGGUACCAUCAUGCUUUGCAAGAGGUCACAGAGUUCAUGUCAUCUGCUGAGCGAUGCCUGCCCAUGUACGUCUCACCUAGUGUUGGGAAUGAAGACCUCAUCAGCAAGCUGGAUUCUGCAAAGGAGAGCAAAGUCAAAAUGGCUGAAGGAGAAGCCAGCCUUGAAAGGUUGCAACAAGCCAGUCAAAUCCUGCUAGAUGAUCUUGAUGACCCAACACUCUCUGAACCAGUCAGAGAGGAGAUGGCAAGUGUACAAGACAGAGACAGCAGAUUACAAGCUGCAGCAACUGAGACUGAAUCUUCUCUGGAGCAAGAACUCGAGGACAGGCGAAUCUUUGCCUUACAGGUGGAGGACGUCUUGAAGGAUCUGAAACAACUCCUGAACAGACUGGCUGAGCUGGUACAGAGUGUUGGCCCAGAACUGAAAGAUGUUGAAGAGAAGAUGAACAGACAACAGGACAUGGCCAAUGAGCUGAAUGUCCUGAACCAGGCAUCUGACACCCUUGCUGACACUCAGCAGUCGAAGUAUGACACCCUCAAAGCCACGCCGCCUCCUGAGAUCGCCGAGGAGAUUGAGAGGCUCCGCAUCCAGCAAGCUCAGGUGGCCGAGGUGAUGGGGGAUGUGGAGAGGAGCCUUGAGGGUUCCAAGAGGCUGCGAAGAGACUUCUGCGACAAAGUGAAGAGGGUUGAGGAGGUCUUGGAGGAAGUAACUGAGACCUUGCAAGAGAGAGUCAUCGAUAUCUCGGAAGGGAAGAGAGCAACUGAGGAAGCUCAGGAAACUCUCCAAGAAGCCAAAGCUUUGAUGGAUGUCCUUCAUCACCAGGCUGACAGCCUCACCGACCAAUCCAAUCAGCCGACAGAGAGACAGCAGGUCAUUGCCAGAGUGGACAACCUCCAACACCAGGUCAUGGAGAUGGACGAGUCUGCAUCACUGAAGGUCGCCGAGCUGACCGAAGCGGUCGCACCCUGGGAGGAGUACCACGAGGCCAUGGCGAACGUGGAAUUAUGGGUAGCUGAAGGGAACAGUGUGACAGAGCCAGAACUUGUAAUGACGAGCCCACAGGUUGUACAGUCUCAGUUGGAUUCACACAAGAACAUUUUAGCCAAUGUCCCAGACAUCACUGAGAAGCUGGACGUACUGACUGCAACCACGGAAGCCCUGUCGCACAUCUGUGACUCGAAACAUCUUUCCCAGAAGGCCUCUGCCAUUUCCGAGCGAGCCAACGAAGUGGAAUCCAUCACUGAGGAGAGAAGAACAGUCCUUGAAGAGGCUGCCAAACAGUGGGUGAAGCAUGGCAAGGAGUUGGGGGAGUUGACAGCUGCUGUUUCGCAGGCCAAAGCGGCCAUGUUUGCACCUGAGUUGGAGACCAAGGGGCUGCAUCAACAGAUGAAAGCUCAAGAGGAUCUUUUGGCUGCUCUGGAAAUGUGCGAGGCCAAAGUGGAAGCUCUGAACAUCCGACAUGCCUUCCUGGUCCUGUCCAAACCCACAACCCGAGGCCAUCUCACUGAGACUCCACCCACCUCUCCUCGCCGUGCCCAGGAGGUCACACCCAAGGUUGCAGGUCAGGAGGUCAUCGACCCUCAGCUGACUGAAUUAGCUGGAGAAUUGGAGCAGCUGCACCAGAUCGCAGACGAACACAAAGACAAACUCAGGGUGGCUCUCAUCCAACAGGAGGAAUAUGAUGUCCAGUUGGAAGUCCUGGUGACUAAGAUAAGAGCAGCCCAAGACAGGAUGGCAUCACCCGUUGAGCCUACAACCAUGGAGGAAAUUAAGAGGCAGCUUGCAGAACAUGAUGCUUUGGCUGCAGAAAUCCAGACAUAUGAAGAUGAGAUCAGCCAGCUGAAUGAGAAGACAGAGAAGCUCCGUGAAGAGGCUGGGGCCAGAAUGGCCUCUCGGCUUGCCUCCUACGCCAAGGUCAACCCUCCACUCCAGUUCAUAACAAGACCACAUUUUGGUGUGCAGGCCCAGCUGCUGCGGAGGGGAAGUCCCACAAUGCUUCCAGGACUGUUUGCUACUCCCCAGGAUGCUCCCGCAAGUGUCGAUGACGGGAUGGAGCCACUGAGUGCCAAGAUGGUAGAGGACAUUGAGAAAGAAGAUAUUUCUGACGCAGAGGAACAGCCUCUUGAGGCAUCACAAGCUCUUGAUAGGAUUCCACAAAGGUCUGAUCUGACAGAACAAGCUCCUCCGAGCCUUGCAUCAGAGGCUCAGAAACCAUUGAAACGACAGGAUGAUAUGAAGACUCAAGUUGUUACGGAUCAAGGCCUGGCUUAUAUUCUGAGGCCUCUACAAGAGACUGCAGAUGACAUCAGCGGCUCGAGCCCCUUAACUGGCUCAGCAAGUCGCACCCCAGGUGGAGGUGUGGGACAGCCAUUACCAGACUAUGUUGUUAUGCAGGAAAUACAUCCAGAGAAAUUGCCAACUGUCGUUGCAAUAACAUCGAUUCCGGGAACUCACAAACCACUCAUAAUUCAGGAUCCAAGGACUGGACAACUCAUGGCUGCUGAGCCUGCCGAGAAACCAGAAGAGCUCCCAAAUCAGCCAACCAUCUACAUUCCAGAGUCUGGAAAAGUGUUGAUCUUAAAUCCAAAUGAGAACAUGGCAUUAGAGGCUUGCCCAGUUCAAACAGCUGGAGUAUUGCCCUCCCAGCACGCAGACUCUAAUACAAUUGGUCAGGAAUACCAACCACCAACAGAAACCCCACUUUCUCAGGUUGAACCCGGGAAAGCACCAGAGGCAGCUCUUCAAAAACAGAUUGUUACAGACAAAGGCCUGGCCUUUGUCCUGAGACCGCUUGAAGAUUUUGAUUUGAGUUCAGGUGUUCCGAGCCCCUUGUCUGGUGUCUUUGGCGUGGCCCCCGAUGGGGGCGACAGUCAGUCAUUACCUGCUCCAGAUUAUGUAAUGAUAGAUGACGCUCAACCAGACAGCUUGCCUGUUAUUCUAGGAUCAGACUAUUUACCUGUAGCUGAGAAGCCACAUGUCUUUAAAGACCCACAGACAGGACAACUCAUGUUUGCAGAGCCUUUAUCUGAACCCCUUGAGCUGCAAAGCACACUGACUGCAUACAUCCCUGACUCGGGAAGAGCUAUCGUUAUUGACCCAAGCAGGAAUAAGACAUUCGAAGCUUAUCCCGCUAAGGAUGUUCCUGCAGUGUCUGAGGAGGUGACGGCAGAAAUGAUCUUGCCUGUGGAACUGCAGGAGUGGAAAGCCAACCUUUCACUCCUUUCAGUUGAAGAGCAGUCAGCAGCUGAGACACUUCCACCAUCCAGAAGCCAACUUGAAGAGCCACAAGAAUCUGAGAGGCCUGUACUGCGACAGAUUAUCACAACAAAAGGACCAGCAUACAUUCUUAAGCCAAGUGAAGAUGGUUCAUGUCUUCCUAGUCCACUCAGUGGCCAAGAUGGCAGUGCCCCUGACGGUGGACAAAGCUCACAAUACCCUCAGUAUGUUAUCUCUGGGGAAGUUUCUCCACAGACUGUACCUAAUGUCAUUGGUACAAAGACCAUUUCCCUAACUGAGCCUUUGAGAAUACAAGAUCCAAAGACUGGUAACAUCAUGGAAGCAUACCCUGCUCAAAAACCAGAGGAAUUGAACUCAGAGGCCAUUGCAUUCUGUGAAGAGUUGAAUGCAUCACCAAUGGUCAUUCACUAUCCAGAAGCCAAUAAAGUCGAGGUCGCUCAGCCAAUGCUUUCUGCCACAAAACAGCCUGAAGCACAACUUCUAGUGAAUCAGUUAAUAACAGAAGAGGGGCCGGCUUACAUCCUGAAACCUAUUGAAGAGAUUAGUGGCCUUGACAGUUUGAGUCGUGCACCAAUGCGGGAUGAAAUUACCUCUGGUCCUUCUGUUUUAACUUCUUCAGAGGUUACUGAACUGGAGAAGGUACCAACAGUAAUUACAUCCAAACCAGGCCUCCAAUCCCUUCAACAGCCUCUGAAGAUAAAAGACCCGUUGUCUGGUCGCAUUAUGGCAGCACAGCCCUGUGAAGAUCCCAAAGACCUGCAGACACAAAUUACAGCAUACAGUGAUGAUCCUAAAUCUGGAGUGAUCAAGAUCCACCACCCAAUUGAAAGAAUAGUGCCAGGUGAAGAGUCAUUCGUCCUUGAAAAGAAACCAGUGACUUCAGAGCUAGAAGCUAAGUCUCCCCCCAAACAACAACUGGUAACAGCUGAAGGUCCAGCUUACAUUCUCAGACCUCUUGAGAAGCAAACAGGGCCUUUAGAUGCAAGUCCCUUGCAGGCAAAACAAGGAACUACUCCUGAUGGUAGUUACUACAUAAUCAGUGGCAAACCUGAAGCUUCUGUUCUACCAACUGCAGUAUCUUUAAGACCUUUACCAGAUGUUCAUCUUGGGCCAUUGACAAUCAGUGAUCCCAAAACAGGAAAGCUCUUAGAAGCCAUACCAGCAGUAGAUCCCCAACAGCUCAGGACAGAGGUCACAGCUGUCAUCAAGGAUUCAGAGGACCAACCAGUGAAGAUCUACCACCCAAAGAAAGCUCAAGUCCUGAUUGCAAAACCAGCAAAAUCUAUGCAAAGUGAGGAAACCAGUCCAUCAACAGUUUUGUCAAGACACCCUCUGAGGGCAGCAGUGCAAAAGAGAACACUCCCUGAGCAGCAGUUAGUCACUGAACAAGGACCAGUGUAUGUGCUGACACCACUGGAACAGAUGCCACCUGAAGAUGCAAAGCGUAUGCAAACAGCUCCCAUUACCCUCCCUUAUGACUCAGAACUGGACAAGCUUCCUCCUGUGUUGUCCUCAAGACCACUCUCAGAGACUGGUGUAGAAGCUAUGCACAUUGUUGAGCCUGUUUCCCAGAAGGUUAUGGUGGCAGUGCCAUGUGUUGAACAGACACAGUUGCUGACAGAAGUAACUGUGUUUAUCAAUGAGACAGACAAAGAAGUCAAGAUCCACCAUCCUCAGAGCCUCAAGCCAACACUGGAGGCAAUGUCUGUGGUUUUUGAGAAACAGCCAUUGCAAUUAAUGACGCCUGAAGAGCAACUGUCAGAUGAACAGCUUAUCACAGUGGAAGGCCCAGCAUUCAUUCUAAGGCCUAUCAGAGAUACAAGCCCACUGAUUCAACUAUCUGCAACAAGCCACAGGUCUGCAGGUAGCAUCAUUGGUGGCACAGAAAUCUGCGAUAUUCCAACUGUAAAAGAAUCAAAGCCAAUCUCAAGUGACACAGCUGAGCCCCUCUGGAUUAGAGAUCCAAGGACUGGGGAGAUCAUGGAGGCCAUCCCAGCAGUUGAUCCAGGUCAACUGCAAAGAGAAAUUACAGCAUAUAUAAAGGAUACCGAUGAGGAGCCAGUUAAGAUCCACCAUCCACAUACAGCAAGAGGCACAAAGAGACCAUGGACCACUAGUAGUGAGCCCUCACAGCUUGUAGAGGAUUCUGCCAGGGCCAACAAAGAUUGGCAUCAGAGACCUAUUGAAACUGGCACCAAGGCAAAGGUCAGCAAGAAGCCUGAAGGAUACAAGUUUGCUCUUGGCAAGUCACAAACUGAGCCUUCACCACCCAUGCAGGAAGUUGAAAUAGAUCUCAUUUUUGCUCAAUCAGUUGAAACAGCGAAGCUAACAGAAAGUCCAAGUUUUGAAAAAGCAUCCAGAAUCCCCAAACAAGAUGAUCAGUUGCAACCAGCUUAUUCUAGUCCCAUCUCACACCAGCUUGUUACGGAAAAGGGCCCAGCAUACAUCCUUGAGCCACUAGAUGAAGCAGCUGUGUUUCAGUUUGGAAGUCCCUGGGAAGGCGGACAAGGAACUACUCCAGGCGGUGGUGUGGGUUCAGCACCAGCUGACUUCCUCAAGGUGCAAGAAGUGCCGUAUGAACAGCUGCCGAGGGUCAUAGGAACAAGACGUGCAGUUGACCAACAUCCUUUUACAGUACAAGACCCUAAAACUGGGAAACUACUGGCUGCACAACCAGCACAUUCCUUAAAUGACUUAAGGCAGUCAGUAAGUGGGUAUAUACCAGAUGGCAGUAAAGAUCAAGCCAUGGAAAUCUUUGACCCUUCAAGGAAGCAAGUGGCUGUUGCUUUGCCAUCAGAGAUUGCAGAAGAUCUGAUGACUGCUUUAGGUGGCAAAUCAUAUUUUCCCUCCGAACCCAGACCAGAAGACUCAGCCUCAGUUCCAAUGGACUUUAAUGAUGCUAGGGUAUCUGCAGAUCCAGUUCCCACAGGCCAGAAAGCUACAGCAGCAAUUGCUGAGCACCCUGAUGGGCAGAUGGAAACCAGUGAGCAUUUGAGUGACUCCACAUUCACACUAAGCGCUGAACCACUAAGAACGUCAACUCCUUUCAGUUAUGCACAACUCUUGAAAAAGCCACUGGUUGAAGAAGCGAUUUCUAAACCUCAACUGUAUCAGGGAGCCUUUGAAAUGCAGGAAGAUGCACCAGAGCCUGAAAGCCAAUUGGAGGACAAACAAGACACCAUCUGUCAGCUGAUUACUGAUCAAGGGCCAGUCUAUGUCUUGAAACCAAUUGAUAAGGAAACAAUUCAUCCUGUUAAGGGCAAGGAAGGCAGUGCACCUGAUCGAAGUACUGGCCUUCCAUCUGUAGAUUUUGUCAUAUCUCAGGACACGUUGCCACAGCAGCAACCACCAGUUGUCACUGGAGCUCGGGAAGUACCACGGUCAUUGUCACUUUUUGUCAGGUAUCCAACCACAGGACAAGUUUUGGUUGCUUUUCCAGCUGAAAGCCUAAAGGAGCUAGAUGACGAACUGACAGCUUACAUACCUGAUAAUGCCAGUCAGUCAAUUCGAGUUCAUGAUCCGAGCAAACCAGAAGAUCAAGUAGCUGUUCCGACUGAGAUGGUAAUAGUUGAUGAAACUGCUUCUGCUCAGAGCAUAGGGCCCUCAGAAUAUUCUCUUUCUAUUCAGAGUCUGUGGGAACAGGCCCCCAAUGAUGCUACCUCAACAAAAAAUGAGGAACCAGGAAUAGAAUAUAAAGCUGAAGAAGAAAAGGCUUCUGAAAGCGGCCCCUGGCAGCUUGUUGGAAAAGAAGGUCCUAUCUUUGUUCUGAAGCCAACUGACUCGAAGGCAAGCAAUCCGCCCAUAUUUGAGCAAGCCAGGAUUUUGGACAGUGUAACAGGCACCCCAUCAAUUGACCUUGAGAUUUCUCCAGAAUCACAACUGGAGCACCCACCCGUGGUCACAGGUGCACAGCAUGCCACACCAACAUCUAAACCAAUGUUGAUCAAAGAUCCAAAAACCAGCCAAACAUUUAUUGCAGUACCAGCUCAGAGCUUGAGUGAAGUGGCUGAGGAGAAAACUGUGUGCAUUCCAGGGAAGGCAGUGACCCCAAUAAGGAUUCAUGACCCCCUCACAGGCCGAAGUGCAAGUGCUUCUGAUGACAUCUUUGCUGAUGAAGCUGAGUUGGCUAGCAGAGCACAUGAGGUACAAAAGCCUGGAUUCAAACUGCCUGAUGAACAUGGUGGUGAACAACAAUCUUCUAGGAAAGAUGAGGAGGGCUCUAAUAUGCAUACUACUCUAGUGGAGGAAUUCAACCAGUUGUUGACUGAUCAAGGACCAGCUUACAUAGUUAAGCCAAUUGAUACAUUUGAGGGUGAAGUGAGCAGUCCAUUGCAGGGUUUUGGUGGCAGUUCCUCUGGUACGGGAGAGGGUCCUUCAUCUGCCAACUUUUUGAUUUCAACAGAAUCGCAACCUCAUCGCCUUCCUCAAGUAAUAGGUGCAAGAAAGGUCAGUCCAUCAAAUCCUCCCAUAAUUCAGGAUCCAGAGACAGGGAGGACCCUUGUAGCAAGACCAGCACAGAGUUUGAAGGAUCUGGAAGAAAAUAUUUCAGCAUGUAUUCCAGAUGGUUUUGAGGAACCAGUAAGGAUCCAUAAUCCUUGCCAGACAGUUGAUCAAAUAGCUAUCCCUACAGGACAGAUUCAAGUGGAUGAGGCCAUAUUGUCAGAUAGGGUAGGCGAUAUACACAAGCCAUUAAGCCUAAAUUUACAAGAUAAUGUCAGGCGUGAUAAGCCAUCAGCUGGUAAAGAGGAUGAAAUGGAAGAAGACUCACAACCCAAGGGUGGUACAUCUGAAGAGAGCAUGCAGUUGCUUGCUGACCAAGUGGAUGGAGCAAUGGUAGAUUCACAACCUGUAGAUGAUGCACAGGAUGGAACAUUGCAACUACUUUCUGACCAAGGACCAGUCUAUGUCGUGACAUCUUUGGACAGUAAAAGCAGUUUGCUGCCAGGUAAAAAGGAAGGUGCAUCUGGCGGAGGGGCAGGGCCUUCUCUGGCAGACUUUGUGAUAUCAUCUGAUACCCAGCCGAUGCAAGAGCCUUUGAUAACCGGCGCUCGCAGCACUCCCCAAUCCAAGCUGCUCAUUAUUGAUGACCCAUUAACUGGCCAAAGCCUUGUUGCAAGACCUGCUCAGAGCUUGAGAGACUUCGCAGAAGAAGUGACCGCAUGUGUUCCUGAUGAAUGCAACAGGCCCAUCCGAAUCCAUGAUCCUCACACAACACAAGAUCAGAUUGCUGUGCCUGCCGCAAUGGUAUCGGUUGAGGAAGAAACAGUACCUCAAAUAACUGGAAAGAAGAAGAAAUCUAAGAAGCGAAAAAAGAAAGGAACCUCAGCUGACCGAAAAGACACCCCAAAAGAAGCACCUGAGAGACGUGUUCCACAUGAAGAGGCAAAGCAGCUGCUCACUGACCAAGGACCAUUGUAUGUAUUGACACCACAUGGCAGAGAGCUAAGCUCUCCCAUGAAUGGUCAGCAAGGUCUGGAUGGCAGAGUAGGGCCACUGUCAGCAGACUUCAUCAUAUCAGAAGACACAACACCACAACAGUUACCUGUUGUAACAGGUGCCAGGGAUGCUCCAAAAUCACAGUCAUUUGUAAUUCAAGAUCCAAGAACUAGGGAAGCACUGGUUGCCAGACCUGCAGAGAGUUUAAGUGAUCUAACUAAAGGAAUUACUACUUGCAUACCGGAUGAUACUACAAAACCAGUCAGGGUCCAUAAUCCUAAUGCAUCAGAAGAUCUUAUUGCACUUCCUGUUGAUAGUGCUGAACAAGGAUCUCCUUCAGAGGGUCUUUUAGUACCUCCUGUCAUUGAAACAUCCACACGUGAAGAAACUGAGCAAUUGCUCACUGAUCAAGGACCACUGUAUGUUCUGAAGCCAGUAGAUGGCAAAGUGUCUACCCUCAAAGGGGGCCAAGAAGGGGAUUCUGUUGAUGGUGGAGAGGGCCCUCCAUCAGAUUUUGUGAUGUCCCUGGAGACACAGCCUAAGCAGCAGCCUGUGGUGAGUGGAGCCAGGACUGUUCCACAGUCCACAGUGCUAAGGGUUCAAGACCCAAGAACUGGUCAGACACUGCUUGCAAAACCAGCACACAGUUUGAAUGACCUGCAUGAUGAGGUUACUGCCUCCAUCCCGGAUCAGACAGAUCAACCAAUACUAGUCCACAAUCCUUCCCUCCUAGAUGACCAAAUUGCUGUACCUGCCCAAAAGAGUCCAUCUGAUGAUCAAGCACUUCAUGCUGUCAGAGCAAAGAAACCAAAGUCACCAAGACAUAAAGGCAAGAAACAAAAGACAAAACACCCUGUGCCACAUCAAGAGGAAAAAAUGGAAGAAACACCAUCUGAGGUACCUGGAAUUCAACAGCUCUUGUCUGACCAAGGACCAGUUUUUGUCCUGACACCAGUAGAUGAUGCUAGUAAUCCCAUAAAGGGGCUCGCAGGUAGUGCACCAAGUGGAGGUGCUGGACCCCCAGCAGCUGACUUUGUGAUUUCACCAACAAGAAAGCCACUCCAGCAACCUGUUAUUACAGGUUCUAGAUGUGUGCCUCCAACAGAGCUCCUCUUUGUCAAAGAACCCAGAAGUGGAGAGACUCUAGUUGCUGAACCAGCAAAAAAUCUGAAGGAUCUCAAGGAAAAAUUGACAGUAUGCAUUCCCGAUGAAGCCAAACAGUCAGUAACUGUGCAUAAUCCAAUCGAGUCCUGUGAUCUGAUAGCAUAUCCUUCUGAGCCAGAGUUGGUAACUGAAAGAGUAUCAGCUGAAAAGUUAGACAGCAUGGAAAAGCCCCUUGCCAAGAGGCUUAGUGCUGAUCCCAGUGAAAGAUCUAUGCAAGUGAGGGAGGAUGAGCCCAUUCAGAAGCAGAUAAUCACCGAGAAAGGGCCUGCCUAUGUGUUGAGACCACUGGGAUCAGCUGCCAGCCCACUGGAUGGCCUUGAAGGAGAUACUCCUGAUGGAGGUGUGAAACCACCCAUUGUCGGGGACUACCGAAUCGCAGAUGAUGCUGAGCCACAGAGACUACCCAUGGCCAUUGGUGUGAGGGCUGCACCACAGCAAAGGCCACUUGUUGUCAUCAAUCCCCAAACUGGAGAGGCAGUGGAGGCCAUCCCAGCUCAGAAUGUGCGUGACCUGUACAAAAGCACCAUAGCGUACAUUGAAGAUGAAGAGAAUGGGCCCAUGAAAAUCCAUGACAAUGAUACUGGAAAGGUGAAGGUAGCGUACCCAGUAGAAAUUGGGAUGGAACCAGACAGUGAAGCUCCUAUGACUGAGGACCAGGAGGAUGAGCCGAGGAGUGGGGAAUCAACCCCUGGCUUCUACACCCCAGAAACUGGAUCCCCUGCUCGAUCUCGCUCUAACAGUCUCGAGUUGGCUGCAGAGGAGCCCAUCCAAGCCAGUGAAGCUGCACCACGUCUCACUGCCUUUGGCUUUCUGGCUCAAGUACUUGGGCUCACCUCUAAAAAAGAUUUGAAGCCAAAAGAGGAACCAGCAACAGGUUUGGACGGGACUGAUGAUGGCAUUCCAUAUGAGGAAGCUGAAGGUUUCCUGCCUCCUGGAGAAACAGAAAGACCAUCCACAGCCGAGCAGGUGAACAUCCCUGAGUCAUAUUCACAAGCCACUUUAGAUGCUGGCUCAAAAAUCAGACCUGAAGAGCCAGUACCUCAACCUUCACGAAAACUAACAACACCUGUCAAAACUGUCAGGUUUGCUGAUGACUUGCCACCAACUUUUCCAUCGUCCCAAAAAUCAGAACCUGAUUCAGAUGUACAGGCCACUUUCAAGCCACACUUCCCCCACCCCAAGCCUACAAGAAGAGAUCCCGAUCAACAAGAAGCAAGAGAUCCUCAGGGUAAGUCCAGAGAGCCAAGAAAGAAGCUAUCCUCCACACCCAAGGAGUCUGACCAGAGGCAUCCUCAGCCCCCAACUGAUCUCUCUUUGCAUCCUGUCACCCCAAAGAAAACUCCAGAAGCUAAACCAAGUCCUCGAAGGCAUCUUCACCCAUCACCUAUGGGCUUCCGUCCAAGCUUUGUUUCCCAAUCCCCAACAUCCCAAGCACCUGCUCCAGAGCAGCUUAUCACCCCAGAUACAGACUCAGACCUGUUCUACACACCCGAUGCACCGUCAACAUCAUCAGAUGAAGUGUACUAUCCAGCUCGACAGCCAGACGAAGAGACUCCAACACAGUUGACAAGAAAAUGUGUUACAGCAGCUCCUGUUUCUGGACCUGUAAAAUCCCCCUCCUCACCAAGAUCCAGAGUCCCUAAAGGAGCUGAAUCAUCUCCAUUGGAAGACCUCCCCAGUAAAACCAGAAAAGGGAAGACUUCCCCCAUCGUGGGAAAAGAUACUUCUCCGUCUAGGGAGACAGGUGGAGAUAGAAUUGAGGAACUCAAUAGGUCAUGGGACAACCUCCAGCAAAAGAUGGAAGAGAAACAGAGAAUGUUGCGAGACGCUCUAGCCCGCCAAGAGGACUACCACAAUGCUCUGUCUGAGCUGAACAUCCAACUGGAAGCUGCAGAGCAGAAGCUAAAAGGGAUUGAUCAGCAAGACCUAGACGAGGGAAUUGCUACCUUAGGUCACAUCUUGGAUGAGGUGGAGGCUCUCCAGGAUAAGAUCAUUGAAGUCAAGGAGAAAGGCGAUAAGGUGGUGUCCCGCGGUGACGCUAGCAACAGGGAUGCCAUCCAAGCAACGCUGGCAUCUCUCAGAGAGAGGACGGGCAAUCUCCUCAGUGACAGCCUGGACAAACUCAACCAACUACAGAUUGAGAGGGAAGAGCAGGAGGAGCUGAAGAGCCAGCUGACGUCAUGUAAGAACGAGCUGCUUCAACUGGAAACGUGGUUGGAUAACUUCGUCCAACUCCUUGAGGAGGAGGGGCAGGGUGCAGCCUCUCAAGCUGAGGUUAGCGUUGUGGCAAUCCAACAGCAGCUGGUGCUCAAUCAGAAUCACCAGUUAGAGCUGAGUCGCAAACUCCAGAAGCUCCAAGAUGUGCAGGGCAUUGUGGACGACAUCCAGGCCAACUGCCCCUCCCGUGAGGGUGAGACCACCUCCGCCCUGGCUGCCCUACUGCGCACUCGUGCUGAGACGCUGAAGCGGGACCUGGGCGACCGGCAGGAGCUGCUCAAGAUGCGGCGCAACACCCAGCAGAUGGCGGAGGAGUACCAGAGCGAUGUGCAGCGGCUACAGGAGUGGCUGGCCGCGCACCGUGGUGCCACAACUGCCACCCUAGCAGCAACUGAAGGGAUGGAGGGACGGUCGCUGCCCAUCGACGUCGGCUCUGAGUCAUUGCAGAGACAGAUGGACCUGCAACAGAGACUGGAGGAAGAGCUGUCUGCCCACCAGGCGCUGCUGAAAUCGGUCGCUCGCCGAGGCACACGACGACGUGCCCACCCAGCUACCUCCCCCACGGAGGAGGAGAGCAGCCAAGUGAAUGGCAGGGACGAAGACACCGAGGACCAUGAGCUGUCCGAGAUGCGAGCCAAGUGGCAAGAGAUCUCCAGCCAGGAGGCAGAGAGGAAACGGCAGCUACUGGCCUCCCUGGAGUAUGCCAGACCCAAGGAGACUAAUGGCUUAAAUUACCCAGCACCAGCAAGGCGAACUUUGACCUUUGACCUGCUGGACAGGUCAGAGGAAGCAGAGGAGGACAUGCAGGCAUCUGUAAAGGCUCUCAAUCAGUGUUGGGAAAAAAUGCAAACUCAGGUUGAAGACCAACAGACCAGACUAGAGCAGGCCUAUGAGUUCCAGUCGGCCUACCAGACAGCUCUGCAGAAUGUCUCCAGUUGGCUUGACAAUGUGCAGCUGAAGCUUUUCUCAUCCAGUUGGCAGAAGGAUACACAAGCUCAGCUGGAUGAUCACUCCGCCCUUCAAGAUGAAAUCCACACCUUCCAAGACCAGCUGGAGGUCAUGAACGAGUCUUGCCAAGCCGUCCUCCUUGAAGCCAACGAAGAGAAUCGGCAGCUGAUCCAACAAGCGUUGGCGGACCUCAACUUGCGCAUGUCCACACUGGAAACAGAGGCCCAACAACGGGAACAAGAACUCAGGGAGAAGAAUAAGAGACAGAAAGCCUUCCAGGAUGAUGCGCAGAUCUUCCAGAGUUGGUUGACUGAUGCCAAGAAGCGACUGACCAGCCAAGAUGAAUCAGAUAGUGUGGUGGCAUUAGAAGACAAGAUCAACUAUAACCAGGAUCUACAACGACAAAUCCAGCAACUAGAAAAUGAAAUCCAGCAGAAUGAGGCCAGACUUCGCGACGUGGUUGAGAAGGGUGACCAGCUGUUGAGCCUGGAUCCGCAGAGCCCUGCUGUAGGGAACGAAGUGAGCAUGCUGCAAACUGGCUGGGAGGACCUCUACCGUCAGGCUGGGACCAGGAGAAGACGUCUCAACAAAGCUAAGAUACUCCAGGAGCAGUACCAUAAAAUCCUUCAGGAUUACAUGGAGUUUCUUGAUAUGGCGGAGCAGAAGCUGAGCAGGGAUGACGUCAUGGCCACUGAUGCACGCAAUCUCAGGGAACAACUAGAAAAACACAAAGAAUUCUUCAGCGACCUGGGCACCCACCACCUUACCAUCGAGUCCAUCGCCCAGAAGGCUGACCCCUCCACCCAGGAGCUCUUUGCCAGCCAGCGGUCACUGCUGGACCAGCGCAGCCACGCCAUCCAGGCCAAGGCCACUGUCCGAGGCCAGAUGCUGGAGAGACUGGUGACCGACUGGGACCAGCUGGAGAAGAGCCUGGAGGAGUUGAGGAGCUGGCUGGGUCACGUGGAGGCCCAGCUGCCCAGCAGCAUUGAUGAUGCCACGCAGGAGAGCGUACAGAAGGGAAUUCACAAAUAUCAAGCAAUGACCAACCUUCUGAGUGACCGUAAGCCCACCCUCCAGCAAGUGCUGAAUCGUGGCCAGGCCCUGCUGAAGAACGUUACCUCCUCCAAGCUGGACAACCAACUCCUGGACCUGUCGGAGAAGUGGGCCACUGUGCAGUCCAAGAUCAGCCAGGAGCUGGCCCUGUUGAGCGGCCUUCUCCAGGAGUGGAAGGCCUUCAACCAGGAAUCAGCCAGCUUCCUGCCCUGGCUGAGGGACGCCAACAAGGAGCUCCUGGAGUGGGGCAAGAAGGAUCAGCAGCCGCAGGAAGUGGGAGCCAUGGUGGCACGUCUGGAGAAGUUUAUGGCUUUCCGUAAGGACAUCGAUGGCCACUUGCCACUCAAGGAGUCAGUCUGCAACCACGGCCAGCAGCUGUUGAAAGUCAAGAAGCUCCACACUCAGCCAAUCACAGAGAAGCUGCGGCUAAUUGACAGCCAAUGGAGUGACCUGCAGAAUGAGCUGCCCCACGUACAGGAAGAGUUGCAUCAAAUGCAGAUGGAGCUCUUGCCAUCUAGACAAGCCCUGAAUGAGCUGAUGUUGUGGAUGGAUGCCCUGGAACGGAUGCUAGACGACCACAAGGAGAAGACUUACUCCAGCUCAAAUGAGGUGGAUGCCAUGAUGCAGAUAUAUAGAGGUUACAAGAUCGACCUGUCUACAAAGCUGUUGACUGUGGAGUUUGUCAACCAGUCUAUGCUCCACAUGAGCCAGGACCUGGAGUCCAAACGCGAGGACAAGACAGACUUUGCCGAGCGGCUGGGCGCCAUGAACCAACGCUGGGAGACCCUCAACGUUUCUGUGACUGAAGUGGUUAAGCGCCUGGACUCCCUCCAGCAGGACUGGCUGGAGUGGGAGCGGCAGGUCAGGGAGCUGACCACCUGGCUUGACAAACAGGAGGCCAAGCUGAGAAAAUGCGAGGGAAAGGUUGGACAUGAGACAAGCGUAGAACAAGCCGUCAAGAUGUGCCAGACGAUGGAAGACUCGAUCGACUCAAAGCAGUCAGACAUCACCAAGAUCCAGCAGACGGGCCAGACCUUGGCCCCGCUGGAGACAGUCCUCUGCACCGUGCAAGACCUGGAGCAGUCCAGGGACGGCCUGACCAUCCUCCUCAAGGAGGUGCGAGCUCUGCUGAUCACUGCACUGGAGCAGUGGCGGAUGUACCACGAGUGCCUGCAGGCCGUCUCUGCAUCCCUGGGAAAGGCCGAGUACUGCAUCAGUCGAGUUGGCAUGGCAACGGGGACCCUGGAUUCGCUAGAGUUUCAGUUAAACAAGUUUAAGGACUUACAAGCAGAGUUCACAGGUCAUAGAACACAACUGACUAACCUAUGCAGAUUAGCUGACCAAUUAGGACUGGUAUGCAAGUCAUCCGUGUGUGAAUCUCUUGACAGAACCGUCAAUGACCUAACCACGAGGUGGAACAAUGUGGAUUACCAGCUGAGGGAGACAGUCACCAGUUUUGAGAAGUCCUGGUCUCUGUGGCACCAGUUUGAAGAAAGGCAUGAUGGGAUUGAGGCAUGGCUCAUUGAGAAGGAGAAUGAGUGCGAGUGUGCGAUGGCAGUCCCAGAGGAAUCAGACGUGGAGACGGAUAGGGAGGCAGAUAGGGUGACAGAGAGGGCAAAACAGGUGGAGACUUGCAAGAAACUUCUUGACGAGCUGAAAUCCUACCACGAAAUUGAUGCCUUACGUAACCUAGUGGACCAACUGACCAGGCACAUGGACGGCACCACAGCCAACAACAUUGCCUCCAGGAGACGGGUGCUAUCCUUGAAACAAGACAACCUGUGCAAGGCCUUGAAGCGGUUCAUCAAGACCCAGGAGGCAGACCUCAAGAUGCAGCGUCAGCUAAGAGACAAGAUACAGAAGCUCCUCUCCUGGCUGGAAGACGCCACUGACGUCAUCAACAUGGAUGACCCCAACCGAUCAUCAGAUGAGACCUCCAUCAGGGAACGCAUGGCUCAACUCAAGGCUGUUAUGGUGGAGUUCAGUGGGCGCCAGUCAGAGUUGAACUCCCUGAAUGAGAUGGGUUACCGGCUGAGUCUGAACCGCACCAACGCCGCCGACCUCUCCUCGGUCAACAACAAGUGGAACGCCUCCUUUGGCCGUGUCUGUGAGAAGUACCGUCGCCUGCAGGGCGUGCUGUUGCAGCAGCAGAGCUUUGCCCAGAAGUGUACCGCUUGGAGUAACUUCAUCGAGGAGACAGAGAAGAACCUGGCGGUGGUCAUAGCUGGUAGCUACUUGGAGCUUCUAGAUCAACAAAAAAUAUAUGAGGUAUUUGAGUCAGACAUCUUCAACCGCCAGCAAAUCUUGUUUUCCAUCAUUAAUGACGGUCAGCGCAUGGUGCAAGACGGCGACCUGGACGACCCCGAGGAGUUCCAGCUCCAGCUGGACCAGCUCAGCGAACAGUGGCAGAGUGUCAUCAGGCGGACAGCGGCCAAGAAGGACGACAUCGACAAGAACAUCAGAGCGUGGAACGCUUACUACCAGAUGCUGAGCAAGAUGCAGGAGUGGCUAGAGGAGAUUGAAGAGGAGGUCAAAGCUUACGACAUCACCACUGCUCCCUUGCAGAGAAUACGAAGCCUUGCCGAUCAGGCAAAGGGGACUCAGAGGUCGGUCGAGCUCCAGGAAACCCUCUACCUCUCCCUUAAUGAUGCUGGCAAGAGCCUCCUCAGGAACUCAGACAGUCAGUCAGCCGAGAAACUCAAAUUGGAAUUGACGGAUGUCCAGAACAGCUGGCACCAGGUGACCACGGGCCUGCGGAAGAACAUGCAGCAUCUGGAAGAGGUCAUUGGGGAGUGGGAGGGCAGCGACGCACUGAUGGACGAGCUGCACGACUGGCUACGCAGCAACAGGAAGGUGCUAAGUCAGCCCCUGCCCCACCAGUACGACGAGCUGCAGCGGGGGCUGGAUAGAUGCAAAGAGAUUGAGAACUCAUUUGAUGCCACCGGGAGCCGGCUGGAGAAGCUGAGACAUCUGGAGGGCCGCUUGCAACCCACAGUCAGUCCAGACGACAUGGCCGUCCUGAGCGAGCGCAUUGCGCUCCUGAGCAAGCAGUGGGAGGAGGUGCACCACCAGACGUGCCAGCGGCGACAGCAAAUCACGGACAGGCUUAAUGAGUGGGCUACCUUUACUGAGAGAUAUAAGGAGUUUUGUGAUUGGCUGACACAGAUGGAGGUGAAGAUUGUACAGAAUGGAGAGCACAGCAUUGAGGAUCUCUUGGCAAAGUUGACAGAGGCCUACCAGGAGGAGAUAGAGUCGGCCAAGUCCAGCAAGGAGCAGCUGCAGGAACUAGGCCAGCGACUGAUCACCGCCAGCAAUGAGGCCAGAGCCAGUGACAUCGAGUACAAGCUAGCCAAGCUAGCUGAGCGCUGGAACCACCUCAUGGAACUUGUCGGAGCACGAGUGAAGAAGCUGCAAGGUACAUUGACGGCAGUACAGGAGCUGGAUCAAAACAUGGGUCAUCUCCGCCAUUGGCUGACGCAGAUGGAGAAGCAGCUAGCUUCCCCCAUCAUGUAUGAGACGUGUGACAAGAUCGAGAUACAGGCCAAGCUGCAGACCCAACAGGAGAUCCAGAAGGACAUCGAGCGCCACAGCAAAGGGGUGACCUCCGUUUUGAACCUAUGCGAGAUGCUACUUCACGACACAGAUGCCUGCUCCUCAGAUGCUGACAAUGAGGCCAUACAGACAGCUGCCAGAACCCUGGACCAGCGAUGGAGGGCCAUCUGCUCCUCCUCCAUGGAGAGGAAGAUGAAGAUUGAGGAGACGUGGAGAUUGUGGCAGAGGUUCAUUGAUGAUUACACCCGAUUUGAUGACUGGCUAACGAGCAGUGAGCGAAUAGCAUCCAACCCGCACACCACCAGUGCACCGUUUGCUGUCAUCAAGGAAGAGAUCAAGAAAUUUGACAUGUUCCAGAGGAAGGUCCAGGAGAACUUCACCCAGCUAGAGAUCCUCAACAAGCAGUACCGGCGGCUGGCCCGGGAGGGCCGGGCUGACCGCACCCAGCAACUCAAAACCAUGGUGCAGCAGGCCAACGACCGCUGGGACGACCUGGUCCGACGCUGCUCGGCCAUCCUGAGGCGGCUGCGAUACGCCCAGAGCCAGAAGGAGGAAUUUGCCGCCUGCAAGGAGAGCAUGCAUGUGUGGCUGACGGAAAUGGACCUGCAACUCACCAACGUGGAGCACUUCUCAGAGUCUGACAUAUCGGUCAAGAUCAAGCAGAUGAUGGCUUUCCAGCACGAAAUCGAGCUCAACCGGCCCCGACUGCAGGAGAUUGUUGAGCAUGCCCAGGUCCUGAUGCAGCGCUCCGAUCCCCACGACAGCGCCUUCAUACAGGAGGAGAUGGACGAGCUGCAGCGGUACUCGGUGGAAGUGUUUGACAGGGUCAGAAAGUUCCAGCGCAAGCUUGAAAGACUCUCCAUGGCACAGGAGUUUUAUUGAUAGCCUGUGCCAGUUUACAGGAUAGAUAAAUUGUUCAGCAUUGUAGCUUGGAUCACUUUAAAAAACCCAACAAAGAGGAGUGUAGUUAGGAAUAAACCAAGUAUGAAACCACUAGCACCGAGACAGAAGAAGACAGCGAGGGUAUCAGCUCGCGGGACAUCAGCCCUGACCGGGACAGUCCGUCA